This 287-nucleotide ribosomal RNA is filed under the name uncultured rumen protozoa. Its description in RNAcentral is "partial 18S ribosomal RNA". It matches the Rfam family "Eukaryotic small subunit ribosomal RNA", at positions 1276 to 1593 of the family's 1831-position model. The record is from RNAcentral.
GGUGGUGCAUGGCCGUUCUUAGUUGGUGGAGUGAUUUGUCUGGUUAAUUCCGAUAACGAACGAGACCUUAACCUGCUAACUAGAUUCUUCCAUCUUAUGGUUGAUAUCUUCUUAGAGGGACUAUGUAAAACAAAUACAUGGAAGUUUGAGGCAAUAACAGGCCAGUGAUGCCCUUAUAUGUCCUGGGCUGCACGCGUGCUACACUGAUGCAUACAACAAGUCCCUAACCAGACAUGGUAUGGCAAUCUCGAAUAUGCAUCGUGAUGGGGAUAGAUCUUUGCAAUUAU